UACGUAGGGGGCAAGCGUUGUCCGGAUUUAUUGGGCGUAAAGAGCGUGUAGGCGGCUAGGUAGGUCCGUUGUGAAAACUCGAGGCUCAACCUCGAGACGUCGAUGGAAACCAUCUAGCUAGAGUCCGGAAGAGGAGAGUGGAAUUCCUGGUGUAGCGGUGAAAUGCGCAGAUAUCAGGAGGAACACCGGUGGCGAAGGCGGCUUGCUGGGCCUUACCUGACGCUGAGGAGCGAAAGCGUGGGGAGCGAACAGG
RNAcentral lists this ribosomal RNA (253 nucleotides) under uncultured bacterium. Its description in RNAcentral is "partial 16S ribosomal RNA". It matches the Rfam family "Bacterial small subunit ribosomal RNA", at positions 524 to 776 of the family's 1533-position model. The record is from RNAcentral.